RNAcentral lists this ribosomal RNA (265 nucleotides) under uncultured archaeon. Its description in RNAcentral is "partial 16S ribosomal RNA". It matches the Rfam family "Archaeal small subunit ribosomal RNA", at positions 718 to 982 of the family's 1478-position model. The record is from RNAcentral.
AGUCACUGACAUUAGAUACCCCCGUAGUCCAGGGUGUAAACGCUGCAGACUUGGUGUUGGGGGCCCUUUGGGGGCAUUCAGUGCCGGAGAGAAGUUGUUAAGUCUGCUACUUGGGGAGUACGUCCGCAAGGAUGAAACUUAAAGGAAUUGGCGGGGGAGCACCGCAACGGGAGGAGCGUGCGGUUUGAUUGGAUUCAACACCGUAAAACUCACCAGGGAAGACUGUUACAUGAAGGCCGAGAUGAAGACUCUGCUAGAUUUUCAG